RNAcentral lists this ribosomal RNA (253 nucleotides) under uncultured bacterium. RNAcentral describes it as "partial 16S ribosomal RNA". It matches the Rfam family "Bacterial small subunit ribosomal RNA", at positions 524 to 776 of the family's 1533-position model. The record is from RNAcentral.
UACAGAGGGUGCGAGCGUUGUUCGGAAUUAUUGGGCGUAAAGGGCGCGUAGGCGGUGCGGUAAGUCACCUGUGAAAUCUCCUGGCUCAACUGGGAGCUUGCAGGCGAAACUGCCGUGCUGGAGUGUGGGAGAGGUGCGUGGAAUUCCCGGUGUAGCGGUGAAAUGCGCAGAUAUCAGGAGGAACACCGAUGGCGAAGGCAGGUCUCUGGGCCACUACUGACGCUGAGAAGCGAAAGCAUGGGGAGCGAACAGG